GAUCCUGGCUCAGGACGAACGCUGGCGGCGCGCCUAACACAUGCAAGUCGAACGAGCGAGAGAGAGCUUGCUUUCUCGAGCGAGUGGCGAACGGGUGAGUAACGCGUGAGGAACCUGCCUCAAAGAGGGGGACAACAGUUGGAAACGACUGCUAAUACCGCAUAAGCCCACAGGUCGGCAUCGACCAGAGGGAAAAGGGAAGGUAAAUCCGCCUUUGUAGAGUGCCGUCCGCGUCCGACUAGU
RNAcentral lists this ribosomal RNA (243 nucleotides) under uncultured bacterium. RNAcentral describes it as "partial 16S ribosomal RNA". It matches the Rfam family "Bacterial small subunit ribosomal RNA", at positions 15 to 245 of the family's 1533-position model. The record is from RNAcentral.